CCUGCCUGCACCAGUCGGCCCGGUAUGCGUCAUAGCUCACCUCGGUAUCCUGGAGCUGUUGCUGAAGGUCGGAGACCUUCUUCGACCAUUCCCGAUCGCAGUCGGCCUGGGUCAGAAGCCGGGACGAGCUCCCUUCCAACUGGCUAAUCCUCUCCCGCGCAGCCGAUAGCUCCACUCUGAGAGAGCUAAUCUUGGCAGCUUGAGCCCAA
RNAcentral lists this long non-coding RNA (209 nucleotides) under Elaeis guineensis (African oil palm). RNAcentral describes it as "long non-coding RNA (EGUI_LNC072427)". Lineage: Eukaryota; Viridiplantae; Streptophyta; Magnoliopsida; Arecales; Arecaceae. The record is from RNAcentral.